Molecule: long non-coding RNA, 1572 nt
Filed under: Sorghum bicolor (sorghum)
Lineage: Eukaryota; Viridiplantae; Streptophyta; Magnoliopsida; Poales; Poaceae
Description: long non-coding RNA (SBIC_LNC007119)
Source: RNAcentral
GGUCAUUAGAGCAUCCCAACCGUUUUGCAUAAUUGGUUUGGCAAAUGAGAGAGUUUGCCAAGUCUCAAAAAAAAAUAUGGUAAAGGUGAAAAGAGGCAAUCUGCAAUGGUUUAGCAUCUAUCACUUGGCAAAAAAAAGAAAAUUAUGGACCCACAUAAUUUUUUUGUCGAGCUUUUCUCCUCACCGCGCGUCAGUGAAUAUUCGCGGCAAAUUUAUUCCCGCCGAGGCGCUGAGGUAGCGGCGUUUGUGCAUGGCCGCUCAGAGUUUGGCGGUUGGAGUCUUUGCCGGCAAAAACGAUCCGAAUGGCAUUGAUGGAGUACCCGACGUUGAUGGAAGACCGAUAGGCAAAAACACAAACAAUUGGGAGGGCAUCGUUGGAGUACCUAGUGUUGAUAGAAGACCGAUGGACAGUUCACAGGAAAGUCUGCCGGCGGGAUGUCGCCAAACUCGCGCGACCUCAACCCGUAGCCGCGCGCGGACUUCGCGCCAGUUUUCCAAUGCCAAGUGUGAACAGGCUUGGCAUAUAUGCCAAUUCUUUCCCUCUUUUUACUAAGUUAAUAAAAUUGCAAAAUCCAAAUGCCAAACCGUUGGAUAGGUGUUUUUAAGAUUUUUUUUUGCAAAUACAUGAAUGCAAAGCCUAUUUGCAAAACGGUUGGGGAUGCUCUUACUGAUUGCUAUUUACAAAGGUGGUUAGAAUGCCCAUCUCUAAAAAUUGAUUAACGGAUGGCUUUAGGCUCCGAAAAUUGAUUUUUAGAGACACUUGGAUCCAUUAAUAGUUUCUAGAAAGCCAAAAAACAAAAAAUCAAGCGGUUCGAACAUGGAAAUCGGUCUUAAGAGGCUCCGCCUCUGUUAAUGGUUUCAGAAAACAAAUAAUCAAGUGCAAUCCGCCUCCAUAGGGUACUAGAAAACAAAAAAUAAAAAAAAUAAUCAUUUCUCAAGACUCAAAUCUGCGGACCAAUGAUUCAACAAUAACAUCUUCUUACCAUUACAUCACACAAUCAAUUGUGAGUACAUAUAUGAUUCUAUCAUUUAUAUAAAUAUUUUAUAAUCUUGUAUGGACUAUUUUGUUUAUUAAGUGAAUUCAAAUGAAAAAAGUUUUCAUUAUAAAGUUUUAAAUCUUGUCAAACACUACCACGGAUGGGGACGAGGUUCCCGAUCGUCAGGUUCAAGAUAAUAUCGAAUUUGGUCGGAAGCGACACAUCGAUCCGACUUUAGAUCACAAAGACUCGAACCCUGCAACUUUAGCUCCACGUCUCCUCUGGUUAUCAAUCGUGUCACAAUCCAGUUGACCUUGCCACGAAUGCUAAUCCCAGCUGUGAAUCGAAGAACACAAGUAAGAACAAGAUAAACACAACUCGAAUUGAAGUGACAUUACAGAUAUAUGAUUAAGCACUUAAAGUUAGGGUCUCGCAAGCCGAUAAUGGUGACUGGACAGAUUGACCUAAAGCAAAACUAAAACCCUAAUAUAGGUGGCGGUUACUGAUUAUAUAGUCUAAGGGGUGUCCAAGGACACCUCUUCACAUCCAUAAGGUGCCCCAACACAUUACAAGGUCCAAUGACCCAAAAGACAGC